This is an RNA transcript of Panicum virgatum (switchgrass), 3222 nucleotides long. It is a transcript of the gene named peroxisomal 2,4-dienoyl-CoA reductase [(3E)-enoyl-CoA-producing]-like, with no coding region annotated. The record is from RefSeq and is a predicted model, not a curated record. The transcript is spliced from 6 exons. NCBI's taxonomy places the organism in Eukaryota, Viridiplantae, Streptophyta, Magnoliopsida, Poales, Poaceae.
AAUCGAAACGCCGUCUCGCUUGUGCAGAACAAGGCCACGCCACGCGAUCCACCAGCCAACUGCCACACCGUGUCUCGUCUUCCCCAUCUGCGCCGCCCGCCCCCGAGGACCCAGGCGGCGAGAGAUGGAGUCGCCGUUCCGGGCGGACGUGCUGAGGGGCAAGGCGGCGCUGGUCACGGGCGGGGGCUCCGGCAUCGGCUUCGAGAUCGCCACCCAGCUCGCGCGCCACGGCGCGCAGGUCGCCCUCAUGGGCCGCCGCCGCGAGGUCCUCGACAAGGCCGUCGCCGCGCUCCGGUCCGAGGGCCUCAGGGCUGUUGCUUUCGAUGGAGAUGUCCGCAAGCAAGAGGAUGCUGCCAGGGUGCUUGCAGCAACCGUUGAGCAUUUCGGCAAGCUGGACAUCCUUGUCAACGGUGCAGCCGGCAAUUUCCUUGCUUCCCCGGAGGAUUUGAAGCCCAAGGGAUUCCGAACCGGUACUUCAUCAUAGUGCACCCUUGUUUGAUUCCAUGAUGCUCUUGUUCCAAACUUGUGCACAAUAUCAUCAGUAUACUGAAUCUUACUAGUUUGCUUAAUCGUACUAGCCUGUUCCUCAAAAACUUAUGUGCCAUUAAGCUGUUUGUUGUACUUCGUACUUAUUAUUCUACUGUUUCAGGGAAGUGAGUGUUGACAACAUUUUCUUGCUGCAGUUCUUGACAUUGAUACUGUGGGUACAUACACAAUCUCUCAAUAUGAUUCCUGCAACAAAAGCGGGCACCCGAGAGUGCCACAUCACCCGCUAAAUUGCUAGCCGUCGGAUCAAGCCAAGGAGCCACGUGAACCGUCCGAUACGGUUAGAGGGUCUCUCACCCAUUAAGCGAAGAAUCGGGCGCUCCAGAGUAUUCGCGAAACCUCUCCGUCUUCAGCCCUCUGCCCCGCCCAGCGAUGGCGUUCGUCCCCGCCGUGUCGCAGCGUAAACAGGACCACCGGCUCUCCCGCUUCGCCACCGGCCUCGACGUCCGCAUUGGCGCAUCCUCAUCUCCGCGCGCUCCGCAGGUCCGUCGUGGCGGGCGCCCGCGUUCUCCGAAGUCCGACCUGGAGCUCGAGCCCACACUCGUCGGCAGAGAUCCUCCCCACUGGCCGGAAUCGGCGCUGCGAGCCCGUUCCCUUGCUUCUCUAAUCGUAAGGUUCCGGCCGGCCUCGGGACCGCGUCGGCCAGGAGCAGCUCGCUGGCGGCGGCGGCCGCCACCAUGGCUGCCCUUGGGCGGAGUGACGCCUCCUGGAUGGCCGACAGCAGUCUGCGGUGCGAGGGUUGCGGCGCAGCUACGCGAGAACUGCGAGGACAGGUGGCGGCGUGGAGCAGCAGCCGAGCAGCAAGGACCACGGAAUGGCUGCGGCGGUGGGGGGUACACCGACGAUGACCACAACGAAUUCUGCCUCAUCAGCUCCUACAGUCCUACAGUCCCACGCCGUACGCUGCUUCCUCUGGCACAACCCCGUCACUCACAGCAGGUAUACGAGAUGAGCCAAGCUUUUCUCUCCCUGAUACGUUAGAUUUCUGUCUAAAUUUGUGCUAUCGCACUGUACUUCUAUAGCACUAUUGCUUGCUAAAAACCAACCCUCACGCACCUCUAAUCAGUUCAGUUUAAUUUUCCUCUUUCCAAUCCUCUGAUUUACACAUUAAUGUUGAAUUCUAUUGGAAUCCUGAUGUGCCGCAACAUAUUGUGUACAUAUUUCUUUAGCUUCUUCCUCCUACGUUAUGCUUAUAUACUUCUUCAACAGUUUACAUUUCAGAUUGAUUUACCAACAUAAUUCGGGGUUAUAUAUAUGCACAGCCCUCUAUUCAACACGUCAUAUUUUCACUAGAUAGUAAUUAUCCAUUUUAAUGUGUAUUUAAAAGAAUUGGUACUAACACACUCAUUUGCAUUUCAGAGAAAAUAUUGUCUGAAUCAACUGAGAGAACAUCUUUGCAGAAAGGGCAUUCAAACUCAAUAUAUAAUGAGUACAGAACUAAAAUAUUCAUAUUUUCUUCGGCUGUCUGGAAUUAUGGGUUGAUUCCAGAUUGUGUUCAUACAACGUGACCAAAUUUGAGUAACAAAUAAAUGGGUGUGCAAUGCUUCCUGAAUUUUUAUGCCUAGCAUUUGCAGGGCAAGAAGCACUGUUUUUUGUCCAGUCACUGACAUGGCAUUGUGUAUUUGCUUGGUCAGAUUUCUUAAGUAGGAUUUGAAGGUCUCACUCGUUGUGCAGCAAUACCUCCAUGAACUUCGUAACAGGAGCAAUACCAUAUCUCGUUCACUUGUCAAUUCAAUGAGUCAUCAUGAGUGAUCUUUCCCUGUUUUAUUCAAAAUCAUAUCUUCCAGUGGAGCAAAAGAUCUUGAUCCAUAAGUUGAUCUUAUUUAUCUCUCCAUUCUCCAAUACUACAACAUGGGAUACCGGCACCGCGUGGCGAAGCCGCGAGCCUUUCUAGUGUGUUACGAAGCCAUGAAGUAUCUCAAAAAGGGCGGACCAGGGAGAGCGCCAUCCUCUGGUGGUCUCAUCAUAAACAUAAGUGCCACACUGCACUACACUGCGGCUUGGUACCAAAUUCAUGUCUCUGCUGCUAAGGCAAGCGUGGAUAGUAUCACCAGAUCAUUAGCUCUGGAAUGGGGAGCAGAUUAUGACAUUAGAGUCAAUGGAAUCGCACCAGGACCGAUUCAAGACACUCCAGGAAUGAGGAAGCUUGCACCUGAGGAAAUGAGCAAGGGGCGUCGAGAAACGACACCAUUAUUUAAGCUUGGAGAGAAAUGGGACAUAGCAAUGGCCGCACUCUAUCUGGCUUCUGAUGCAGGAAAAUAUGUCAAUGGGGCUACAAUUAUUGUUGAUGGAGGCCUUUGGUUAAGUCGUCCUCGCCAUAUUCCCAAGGAGGAAGUGAAGGCGCUCUCUAAGGUUGUCGAGAAGAAGGUCAGGACCUCUGGGUUUGGCGUGCCAUCCAGCAAAUUGUGAUGGCAUAUUUGGCUAUGUACCUCUUCGGUGUGUUCUGUACCUAUUGAUGUCACCACUCACCAGUAUUGUUGUCAGUUUGGUAAUGCCAGCUGAGCAGAGUCUGUUGACUGUUUAGUUGAGUAUGUUCAAACAUUUACUGUUGCUGUAAUCCCAAACGGACUAGAAAUUAAUAUCGGAUCCGAACUAUUGCCAAAUACUCACGUGCUGUCUUCCAAACCGUCUGUUCAAAUUAUCUAUGAAAAUGAAAAUGUUAUAUUGAAGAUCCAA